UUACUAACGCCAUAUCACUUAGGACCAUACGGAUUUGCUAAUGCAAAACUCUUUGUGUUUAGAUCAAGUACAGUCGGAAGCCAGGAUGGGGAAGAGUUGUGCAUGUCAGUACCCAUGUGAAGAGACAUCGUAUGACAUACAAGUAUCAUCCAUGGUGCUGCCAUCAAAUGCCACGUUCCCAAUUACUUUACUGAAUGCGGCAUAUACCCCUGACAAGAUAAGACAAAAUUACCUGGUUCUACAAAUCAGCCUUGCCAGCAUGGUAGUUGAAAGGACCGAGCACAUACCAGAACUGGAGCUGAAUGAUAUAUUUGCCAAUAUUGGUGGCCAGAUUGGACUGUUUCUUGGGGCCAGCAUACUCACCAUCGUCGAACUCUUGGAACUAGUGGCCGCAUGUUUGCUGGCAAGCCUGACGACCCUUUGGGCCAGACGUAAACGUGAUGGUUGAGGAAGAACAUGGACCACGAUUGCUCCAGUCUCGAGGAAGCUGAUCCCUGCUGUGUUGAAUUGUAGAUAUUCAUGUUCCAUUGAAUACAUAUGUCG
This is a long non-coding RNA of Haliotis rubra (blacklip abalone), 543 nucleotides long. RefSeq lists it as uncharacterized. Lineage: Eukaryota; Metazoa; Mollusca; Gastropoda; Lepetellida; Haliotidae. The transcript has 4 exons. The record is from RefSeq and is a predicted model, not a curated record.